UUUGAGCAAUUAUGCAUCAAUUACACAAAUGUAAAGCUGCCAUGACUUUUCAACCAGGUAUCCUCACUUCUUUCUCUCGUUCAAUGUCAACUUUGCAUGUCAUAAUGAUAUCUAGCAACUCUUCGAGACAAAGCAGGAAGAAAAUUAAAAGAGUAAAUUGAUUGAAGCUAGCAUACUAUUUGCUGAUAAUCAAGCUCUCCCGGAUCUCUUUAAGAAGGAAACAGUCCAACAUAGCUCUUUCAUGCUAUGGAAGUAAAGAGCGGGGUAAGCUUCCCUGGUCAAGUAAAGGGUGGUGCACUCUUGGACAAUUCUACUUGAAAUUGAAGUAUGCUAGUGAAAAGCAUGCUGGAACUGACGAAAAACCUGUUGUGCAAUGCGGAAAAUUUUCAAUGAAUGUGGAUGUUGCAUUGGAAGUGCCGAGAAGACCCUGUCAAUGUUGGAUAGAAUGGAAACUUUCGGUCAAUUCAAAAAGAUUGAACUUCUGAUUUCGAUGGGCAGUUAUGAUAAAAAGAUUGUGGUAAACUUGGUGAUUUCUGCAAACACCUACGUCUAACUGGACAGGUGGUUGUCUCUCGCAUACCAAACGCAUUCUGUCCAAAGUGCUUACCACAUGGCCACCAGAUAUAUGCUGUCUUCUGAUUUCUCUUACUACGUGAGUACUUAUACCUGCUAUCACAGUGAAAACCAAACAAGUUUUUGUUUCAGGAGCAUUAUAAGAUGAACACUCGAUGUAGCUAUGGUUGUAGUAGAAGAGAACAAACUCGUAGUAGUAAAUGAAGGAACUGAUGAAAAGAGAGAUUUUAACAUUCAAGUGCUUGAUCUUAAAAAUAUGUUUGAGAUUCAUUUAGUUUUCAUUGAAUUACUGUAAACAUUAACAGGAAGGGCCCUGGGACUAUUCUAGAAAUAAAAUGGCAUGCUAUUCAUUUCUAAGAAUCAUUUAUAUUUUGAACAUUUGACAUAAAAAAAUUGUUUCAGGCUGAUAGGCAAAGAGCUAAUGAGAAAGAAAGGACAUGCUGAAAUGGAGAAUUCAAGGAUGGGGAAGUUACAAGGAACUGAAAGGAGAAUGCAACUUCAGGACUAUUCUAUAAGACAGGCUGCAGGAUAGCUGGAUAAUUCAUUUCUGUUGGUAUCUUACAGAUUUGGAAACCGAGCGAUUUUUCUACCACACAUUACCUCUUGAAGUUGGACCUCCGCUUCAUAAGGAGUUUUUGUGCGAGUCUUUCUUUCAUAAUAAGCUGACACUGACUGCCAUAGAUACUGUUCUGAAAGAGGAGAUUACUGAUACCAUUCGAGACCGAAUUCAAUCUUGAGAUACCUCUCAUGAUUUUGAACUAUAGGGAUCUCACACAUCGAAUGUUCACGUGUAUCAGGAUACUUCUCCACUAUGAUUAGUACGGAGGCGUAUACUACAAUGUUAUGAUAUGGUAUUAUGUACACCUUGAUACUAUGUUAGUUCCCUUCCCUUCGUGGUAUACCGGCUGCGUGAGUGCAUGCUAGUUGAAGGGUCAAGUCUAGUUCCCUUCCCUUCGUGGUAUACCGGCUGCGUGAGUGCAUGCUAGUUGAAGGGUCAAGUCCAAGGGUACAUAUACAAAGUUGCUUGGUAAUUCAUGUGCAUGUAUUUUGUCCAUGUGUAGAGAAGUACUACACAUUCAAUUCUGCAAAGAUUAGAAGUUGAGACUAAGGCCAUGUAAAUGUCAAGUGUCUUUGUACGAAUGACUAUGUCGCAGUGACGACCAUGAGAUUGAAGCUAGGGUAGAUGUAUACUUGUUUGUAACCCUUAAAGUUAGAUUAGGACAUUAUUUUAUUUAUUUUUGAUGAGGAAGAAGGUUGGACUAAUUUAAACCAAAUUUAUGGUGACU
Cucurbita maxima (winter squash) is the source of this 1859-nucleotide long non-coding RNA. RefSeq lists it as uncharacterized. Lineage: Eukaryota; Viridiplantae; Streptophyta; Magnoliopsida; Cucurbitales; Cucurbitaceae. The record is from RefSeq and is a predicted model, not a curated record. The transcript has 6 exons.